RNAcentral lists this long non-coding RNA (552 nucleotides) under Chinchilla lanigera (long-tailed chinchilla). Its description in RNAcentral is "lncRNA (ENSCLAG00000026859.1)". The record is from RNAcentral. Lineage: Eukaryota; Metazoa; Chordata; Mammalia; Rodentia; Chinchillidae.
ACCUUGCGCUUGCCAGGCAGGCACUUUGCCACUGAGCUAAAUCCCCAGCCCCCGGCUCAUUACAUCUUGAGGACAAUUUGCCUCAAGAAAAUGAAAAUCUCUCUGCCACCUCCUCCUGUGCUGUUCUUUGUUGAGGACAGAAAGAACCUAGACACCAACUCUAGAAGAAGACUCCAGCACCCCAAGCUGGUAAGUCACAGAUGCCAGGUGUUUUGCGCAAGCGAUUGAAAGCUGACCAAUACAGGAGUGGAGUGACUUCAUGGGGCGGCUGGAGAGAGAUGAGGAGUGAAUGUCUUCCACACUUGUCAAAUCCACAUCAAUGUUUGGAAAAGCUGGCGUCACAACAGCGCUGACUUUGGAGGAAAGAGAAGGCAAGAAAGAGAAAAAAAGAAGAAGAAAGACCAACCUUAAAAACUUAGGCUACUGACAGUCUUUGUCCAGUGGGCAUCAGGCGAUAAAUACAGAACACUAUUCUAACCAUGUAGUAAGCAUUCAAUAAUUCAUUGAUGGGGACAAGUAUUAGAUCAAUUGUCUUUUAGGCCUCUGGUUGCU